GACGAACGCUGGCGGCGUGCUUAACACAUGCAAGUCGAACGGAAAGGCCCUGCUUUUGUGGGGUGCUCGAGUGGCGAACGGGUGAGUAACACGUGAGUAACCUGCCCUUGACUUUGGGAUAACUUCAGGAAACUGGGGCUAAUACCGGAUAGGAGCUCCUGCUGCAUGGUGGGGGUUGGAAAGUUUCGGCGGUUGGGGAUGGACUCGCGGCUUAUCGGCUUGUUGGUGGGGUAGUGGCUUACCAAGGCUUUGACGGGUAGCCGGCCUGAGAGGGUGACCGGCCACAUUGGGACUGAGAUACGGCCCAGACUCCUACGGGAGGUAGCAGUGGGGAAUAUUGCACAAUGGGCGGAAGCCUGAUGCAGCAACGCCGCGUGCGGGAUGACGGCCUUCGGGUUGUAAACCGCUUUCGCCUGUGACGAAGCGUGAGUGACGGUAAUGGGUAAAGAAGCACCGGCUAACUACGUG
Molecule: ribosomal RNA, 468 nt
Filed under: uncultured bacterium
Lineage: Bacteria
Description: partial 16S ribosomal RNA
Rfam family: Bacterial small subunit ribosomal RNA
Source: RNAcentral